This is a long non-coding RNA of Argiope bruennichi, 1040 nucleotides long. RefSeq lists it as uncharacterized. The record is from RefSeq and is a predicted model, not a curated record. NCBI's taxonomy places the organism in Eukaryota, Metazoa, Arthropoda, Arachnida, Araneae, Araneidae. The transcript has 7 exons.
CGAUAUUUUAAGCUUCAUUAAUGCAUUUUGCAUUCUGAGACACUUACAAAUAUAUUUACAUCAAUAAGCAGGAGUGAGAAAAGUUGCUGCAUGGCAACAAAAAAUUCAAAGGCGUUCCUUUUCCCUUUAGUUGCGUGACGCCAGAGGAAGGAAGGCAACAUGGCGCUUGCUGCAGCUCGCCAAACACAAAUAAACGCGAUUCGUUUAUUCUUCAAACUGGAGAAAACUUUCUUAUUUCUAAUUCUUCGUGAUGCAGUCUAGAGAGAAUUGCAAUCAGUUCUGUUGGGGUAUAUGAAAGGGCGGAUGAAUUGAGCAGCAGUUUGCAGCUGAAUAAAGUUUUCUACAAAAAUCCAAAAGAUGAAGCAGAUAACAAAAGUAUGUUCUGAGGAGUUUGGAAUCUUUUGCAUUCUCUUCAGGCAAAGAAUGAAGAUCCCGUGUGAAAACACAUAAUGCCACCAUGGAGAAGAAAGUAAAAUAUAACGUAAGAGAUAAUAAAACGUUCAAGAAUUUUUUAAUGCAUCAUCUUCUUUCAAACCUUAUGAUGGAAAAUUUAUUGAAGGCUUGAGAAUGGAAACAAUACAGGACAAUGUAGAUACAGUGGUGUUUAUGUGAAGAAGAUUCUUGAUAGUGUUAUCGUGGGGAUUAUUGUGUUUAAAUGAAGAAUCUUUGCAGCAGAGAUACAAGGACAAUGCUGCUUUCAGAGUGACGACCUUUCAAUCAGAUGACUUACAAAUAGUUGUUUCAGCGAAACAAAGAAGUGUAGGUAUGGACAUAAUUUCAAGCGAUGCAUAGCAAAAUUUGGCGUUUUGAGAAUUCCACGUGACCUUGACGCUCUGAAACUAGAUCCAGCGAUGUAUGUAGGCUGCAUUAGAAGAUAUUUCUUUGCUGCAGAAAGAAGGUUUGAUCUGCGGUGUAGGUGGCGCUGUGCAGCUGAUGAGGAUAAAUCAUGGUGGAGCAUGGAUUCAACCCAAGAACGGAAAUUUAAGUCCAUAUUUACACUUUGUAAAAUGUUCAGAAAAUGCUGUUAUUGUUAUUUAAUA